Molecule: long non-coding RNA, 1954 nt
Organism: Entelurus aequoreus (snake pipefish)
Lineage: Eukaryota; Metazoa; Chordata; Actinopteri; Syngnathiformes; Syngnathidae
Exons: 6
Source: RefSeq, a predicted model, not a curated record
AGGGAAAAAGAGGGAGGGGACUACAGAAUUUUGACCAUGAUUGCAGUACCUCUAAAGGCUGAGAUGAACUUGUUGGAGUAAUUGUUUCUAAAUGAUCACAAAAAUCUUUGUGUUACAUUGAGUUCUGUCAAGUAAGAAGACAAAAGCUGUCUUUGAAAGCUACCAAGAAGAAUGCUGGUAACACUCCACUGUGUAAGGGGGAGAGCCACAUGAAGGGUUUUCUGUUUUCUCUCAUGUAUGGUAAUCAACAGAAGGAUGUUGUUCUGGCCCAAGGACUUCAAAGCGGAGAGAUGACAGGAUCUGCCCAAUUUCCAGACGAACUCUUUUUGAAGUAUUUUACGAACUCUUUUUGAACUUUUUUAUGGAACUCUUUGAACAGUUUUACGAACUCUUUUUGAACGGACCUUUUCUGUGAACUUUUUGCAACCUUUGUCCUUUGGAAACAGCCGUGGUGGCCAUGUGGUCGGGGAAGGUCCAAAAUGAAAGUAGGAGGCAUACAAUCAAUUGGGAGAGCGUGCUAAGAUACUGUUCAAGGGUACAGUGUAAAGGCAACUCUCCUCAAUAUAUUAAGUCCAAAUUGAAUUCUGUCUGUUUGAUUCCUUGCCUCUUGUCUGGUUUAAUAAAUGUCCUCAGUGUUUGACCCUGACAGAACUUAAGGACGAAAGUAUAUUUAAUGAAUUUAAAAUAAGCUAACAAGGUGAAUGUUGGUCACCAGUUGUCACAUUCUAAAACGAAAACUAUACUAAAGACUUGGGAGACUUCAUAGUCAUUCAAUUUAAGACGACAUGUCAGAGGACACAGCAGUCACAGCUUGAGGCUUAUGAAGGGUUUUAAGUCUGAAGUCUUUUAGAACCGAUAUUCUAAGGAUCUUGUGACCUUGUUUUUUUUUUUUAUUCAAACAGCGUUUAUUUAUUAGCCAGUGCUCAGGGGUUUCAGCGAUGAAGAAAAUAGCAGAUAUAGGAACGACACAGAGGCACUCUUGUUUACUGUUCUGACAGGAGUUUCGUCAAUUGUAGAAAUGUGCUUACGACGCAACGUCCCUGCCUAUAAUACCGCUAUCUCCUGAAACACAAACCCAUAGGGACUAACACAAAGCAGGAGAAGCCUGCCAAAGUGAGAUAUCAGGCCAAACCAGGAUUGGAUGAUCUCUGUUUGUGGGAGGGAUGUGCUUGUGUGUGUGCAGGACUGGUGCACCGCCAUCUGCUGUACCUACCCUCUGCACUUAUCUCACGGGAGCGAACGAGGUCGCUCUUGUUGCCCGCCAGGAUGAUUGGCAUGUGAGGCUGGGACUCCCUGAGGAGGAGGCGGAGCUGUGCGGUGCGAUGGAAACUUCGCCUGUCGGUCACGGAGAAGACCAGGACGCACACGUCACACUUCAGCGUGGACAGUGCCUUCAACCGGAAGUAGAAGUGCCUUUCCCGUCUUCUUGCCGUCCAUGGCGUUUCUACUCGUACGGAUUCUCCAUUCAUCACUCCGAGCAACUUUUUUUUUUGAAUUCACCCAAACGUCCCCUGUUUGGAGAGCAAGCUUCCGCAGCUCGUGGGUCCAUGACGAUGACUUCUCUUUUGCUUGAUCAGCCGUUUUACUGCCGUGUUACAGACACCGUUUUUAAACAAUUAAGCCAUCCAUAGCGGUUCUACUCGUACAGAUUCUUCAUUUGUCACUCCAAGCAAUGUUUGUUUGUAAAAUCACCAAAACGUCACCGUGGAGUUAUUGAGUCUGUUUAGCUGAUUGUACAGCUAGCUUCCACAGCUAGUGUCUUCUAGCCGUCCAUAGCGUUUCUACUCGUAUGGAUUCUUCAUUCAUCACUCCAAGCAACGUUUUUUUGUAAAUUCACCAACACGUUACCUUGGAGUCUGGAGACGAUGACUUCUGUUUUGUUUGGUCAGCCAUUUUACUGCCUUGUUACAGACACCGUUUGGAAAUAAUUAAGGUAUGUAAAUAAACAUUUACA